GAGGAGGGGAGCCCAGACACGGCCUUGGGCCGCGAGGUGGUGAGUGACGUCACGCGGCUCCCCGGCUGCCUCCACCCCUCAUCGCUAGCCAACUGAUGCUGGGGAGCGCUCGGAGUGGGGCGGUGGGCAAACGAGGGCCGGAGGGCGCUCUCUCUGUGCCCUCUUCCUAGUUCCGGGGGCUGCCGGUCUUUAUGGGGCCCUGGGUCAGCUCUGCGAGCCUCCGCUUUUUUAUUUGUAAAGUGAGCUCCGUGCGGGAGACUGAGGGAGUGAAGCGGCUCGCCUAGGGUCACACAGCGAGGAGAGAGAAGUCUUCCCGGUCCCCGAUUCGGCCCUUCAGCCCCAUGACCCCCGACUGCCCCAGCCGGGAGGCGCCUAAUAAAGACACAGCUAUUUGUUGGAGACAAAGCCGUCUCCUGCCUUUCAGGGGGUCGCUCCCACGAAAAGAAGGGGCAGGGAGUGCAGAGCCAUUCUCAAUGCUAGAUUCUUAAGGAACAAGAAACAUUUUAAAUAGGAGAAAGAACUCAUACAUGGACAUUGAUACGUGUUGGCUUGAACAAGAAUUUCCAAUGAGAUCCAGUUUCUGGCUCCAGAUCCCUCUAACACUCUACUUGUGUUCUACUAAGAUGAGGCAGCUGGGACUUAGAGACCUAGUGAUUCAGCAACAGCAAGAUUGUGUGAUGAUCAACUAUGAUAGACUUGGCUGUUCUCAGCAGUUCAGUGAUCCAAGUCAGUUCCAAUAGGCUCUGGAUGGAAAAGGCCACCUACAUCCAGAGAGAGAGCUAUGGAGACGGAAUGCAGAUCAAAGAAUAUUAUUUCCACCUUUUUUUCUUUUUUGUGGUUUUUUCCUUUCUCAUGGUUUUCCCCUUUUGUUCUGAUUUUUCUUUCCCAAUAUGAUUCACAUGGAAAUGUGUUUAAAAUGAAUGUAGAAGUAUAACUUAGCUUCGGGGGGGAAGGGAGAGGAGGAAAAAAAAUUGGAACUCAAAAUCUCACCAAAAAAAUUUGUCUUUACAUGUAGGUGGGGAAAUAAUAUACUAUUAAAAAAUGCCAGUGAUCUGCUCAGGAUCCUACAGCCCAGCG
This is a long non-coding RNA of Sarcophilus harrisii (Tasmanian devil), 1077 nucleotides long. RefSeq lists it as uncharacterized. The transcript has 3 exons. NCBI's taxonomy places the organism in Eukaryota, Metazoa, Chordata, Mammalia, Dasyuromorphia, Dasyuridae. The record is from RefSeq and is a predicted model, not a curated record.